GAUGAACGCUGGCGGCGUGCCUAAUACAUGCCAGUCGAGCGAACGGACGAGAAGCUUGCUUCUCUGAUGUUAGCGGCGGACGGGUGAGUAACACGUGGAUAACCUACCUAUAAGACUGGGAUAACUUCGGGAAACCGGAGCUAAUACCGGAUAAUAUUUUGAACCGCAUGGUUCAAAAGUGAAAGACGGUCUUGCUGUCACUUAUAGAUGGAUCCGCGCUGCAUUAGCUAGUUGGUAAGGUAACGGCUUACCAAGGCAACGAUGCAUAGCCGACCUGAGAGGGUGAUCGGCCACACUGGAACUGAGACACGGUCCAGACUCCUACGGGAGGCAGCAGUAGGGAAUCUUCCGCAAUGGGCGAAAGCCUGACGGAGCAACGCCGCGUGAGUGAUGAAGGUCUUCGGAUCGUAAAACUCUGUUAUUAGGGAGGAACAUAUGUGUAAGUAACUGUGCACAUCUUGACGGUACCUAAUCAGAAAGCCACGGCUAACUACGUG
Molecule: ribosomal RNA, 497 nt
Filed under: uncultured bacterium
Lineage: Bacteria
Description: partial 16S ribosomal RNA
Rfam family: Bacterial small subunit ribosomal RNA
Source: RNAcentral